GGGAGUGAUUACCUGGCUCACGUCUAUGUAUGCACAUUAUACACUUUAUCUAAUUUUUCUGUCUACCAGGUUGCUUUUCGGGGUGCACAGAUGAGGCUUGCCCUCUGGAGACAAUGCUGCCAUCCCGGAGAGAGGCCUCACCCAUGAGCCAGGGCCUCCUGCAAACUUUGCGGGUGUUUCACAUGGAAAACAUCGGUGACCCCGCUCCCUCAGGAGCUGCGUGUGAGGCCCUGCACUGAAAACCCUUCUCUGGCCACUUCGAGCUCCACGGCCUCGGCUGACGCACGUCCCACCUCUGACUCGCUCUCCUGCUCUGGGGUCCCGCCCGGCUGGCUCAGCCAAGCCCUGGCAGGUGCUCUAGAGGAGGAGAGCCAGCAGCGGCUUCCAGAAUGUGGUGAGAUCUGAGGGGCAUAGGGGAGGAGACAGGUAGGCAGGGUCCGCAUUACACUUAAACAAAUAGAUUGCCUCCUUCUGAUUCAGUAUCUAGUCAGCUCAUCCCCCAGAGGCGGCAUUCACCAUCUCACUUACUCAUGAUGCACACUGUUUUCGCUCCGCUUCCAGAUUACUUCCAGGAUCCAGCCACUUCGCAUGAGCGUCUUUGCCACCAUCUGAAUCCAAGGCACCGCCCUCUUUCUCCUAGUCUGCUGCUUCCAUCGGCUCCUGUGACAGACUCCUCUCUGUACAGCAAUCUGGGCAAUCCUGUUAGAACCCAGGUCGGAUCCUGUCCCUCAUCUGUUCAGAACUCUCUGGCGGGUUUUUAUCUCACAUAGAGUGGCAACUAAAUUCCUUACAAUGGCCUACGAGGCCCUGCAGGAUCUGUCCAGCUAUAUUGGGCUCAGGCCAACUUGUCUUUGGCCCCAGAGCUUGUCAUCCUUUUUUUUUUCUUUUCUUUUCUUUUUUUUUUUCUUUUCUUUUCUUCUUUUCUUAAUUCUCUUCCUUGAGAUAUCACCUGACUCCCCUCUUCCAAUUUUUAUUCAAACAUCACCUUGUCAUUGAGGCCCUCCCCAGCCACCCCAUCUGAUACAGCACACCCUGUCCUCCUAUCCCACUGUAUUUUUUUCCAUAGCAUGAUUGUCAUGAUUAUUAUGUAAUUAAUCAUUAAUUCAUUUGUUA
Long non-coding RNA from Canis lupus familiaris (dog), 1113 nucleotides. RefSeq lists it as uncharacterized. The transcript is spliced from 3 exons. Lineage: Eukaryota; Metazoa; Chordata; Mammalia; Carnivora; Canidae. The record is from RefSeq and is a predicted model, not a curated record.